GAGUUUGAUCUUGGCUCAGGAUGAACGCUAGCUACAGGCUUAACACAUGCAAGUCGAGGGGCAGCAUUUUAGUUUGCUUGCAAACUAAAGAUGGCGACCGGCGCACGGGUGAGUAACACGUAUCCAACCUGCCGAUAACUCGGGGAUAGCCUUUCGAAAGAAAGAUUAAUACCCGAUAGCAUAAUGAUUCCGCAUGGUUUCAUUAUUAAAGGAUUCCGGUAAAGGAUGGGGAUGCGUUCCAUUAGGUUGUUGGUGAGGUAACGGCCCACCAAGCCUUCGAUGGAUAGGGGUUCUGAGAGGAAC
This 303-nucleotide ribosomal RNA is filed under the name uncultured bacterium. Its description in RNAcentral is "bacterial SSU rRNA". It matches the Rfam family "Bacterial small subunit ribosomal RNA", at positions 9 to 302 of the family's 1533-position model. The record is from RNAcentral.